Tripterygium wilfordii is the source of this 84-nucleotide non-coding RNA. NCBI's taxonomy places the organism in Eukaryota, Viridiplantae, Streptophyta, Magnoliopsida, Celastrales, Celastraceae. The record is from the annotation of a RefSeq genome assembly.
GUCAGGAUGGCCGAGUGGUCUAAGGCGCCAGACUCAAGUUCUGGUCCACUAACGUGGGCGUGGUUUCAAAUCCCACUUCUGACA